RNAcentral lists this ribosomal RNA (566 nucleotides) under Patelloida nigrosulcata. Its description in RNAcentral is "partial 16S ribosomal RNA". It matches the Rfam family "Bacterial large subunit ribosomal RNA", at positions 1816 to 2601 of the family's 2925-position model. Lineage: Eukaryota; Metazoa; Mollusca; Gastropoda; Lottiidae. The record is from RNAcentral.
CGCUUUCCUGCCACAGUUCACAGGAGGUCUCGUCUGCACAAUGACCUACGGGUUCAAUUGCCGCGGUACCCUGACCGUGCUAAGGUAGCGUAAUCAAUAGCCUAUUAAUUGUUGGCCUGUAUGAAUGGCACGACGCUGGUAGAGCUGUCUCUGCAAUGUUUUAUUGAAGUUAACAUUUUGGUGAAAAGGCCAAAAUUCAACUAAAAGACGAUAAGACCCUAUCGAACUUCAGGCUAAAUCCUAAUAAAUCUCGAUUUUGUAGGGUGGAACCUUUGGUUGGGGAAACCGAGGACCAAAAAAAGCGUCCAUCCCCUCUACUGUUAGGCCAAAAGGUCAGUGAGUUGCUUAAUUGAUAUACUGGUUCGACAGAACUAUAGUCACUAUUUAAGAUCCGGGGCUGAUUAUAUAUACCCCGCAAAGGGAAAAGUUACCGUAGGGAUAACAGCGUAAUCCUCUCGGCGAGACCACAUUAAUGAGAGGGUUUGCGACCUCGAUGUUGGCUUAGGGCACCCCGAAAGUGCAGGAGCUUUCAAAGGUUGGUCUGUUCGACCAUUAAUGCCCCACAU